GAUGAACGCUAGCGGCAGGCCUAACACAUGCAAGUCGAGGGGCAGCACAAAUGAAGCUUGCUUUAUUGGUGGCGACCGGCGCACGGGUGAGUAACGCGUAUGCAACCUACCCUAUACUGGGGGAUAACCAUGAGAAAUUGUGACUAAUACCCCAUAAUGUAAUUUUCGGUCAUCGUUAGAUUAUUAAAGGUUACGGUAUAGGAUGGGCGAUGCGUCCCAUUAGCUAGUUGGUAUGGUAACGGCAUACCAAGGCUACGAUGGGUAGGGGGGCCGUGAGAGGGUGGAUCCCCCACCACUGGUACUGAGACACGGACCAGACUCCUACGGGAGGGCAGCAGUGAGGAAUAUUGGUCAAUGGGCGCAAGCCUGAACCAGCCAUGCCGCGUGCAGGAAGACGGUCCUAUGGAUUGUAAACUGCUUUUAUUCGGGGAUAAACCUCCUUACGUGUAGGGAGCUGAAGGUACCGAAAGAAUAAGCACCGGCUAACUCCGUGCCAGC
RNAcentral lists this ribosomal RNA (498 nucleotides) under uncultured bacterium. RNAcentral describes it as "bacterial SSU rRNA". It matches the Rfam family "Bacterial small subunit ribosomal RNA", at positions 28 to 512 of the family's 1533-position model. The record is from RNAcentral.